CUGCGCUGCAACGCGCGCCGUCGCCGUCGCACCGCCGCGCGCCUGUGUGCCGCGUCGCGUGCUGCCGCGCUGCCGUCCGCCUACACGCCGUCGUGUGCCUGCGCACUACUGCUGUGUGCUCCAUGCGCCUCUGUGCUAGCAGCUGAGUGAAACAAGCAAGCAAGUAAUAGCCGGCCGAAGCAAGGAAGCCAGGAAGAAGAAAGGAAGAAAGAGAAAAGAAAAGAAAAGAGAAGAAAAAGAAAAAAGAGAAAAGGAAAAAAGGGGAAGAAGAAAAAAAGAAGAAGGAAAAGUUGGAAAUUUCAGAAUUUCGUCGGAUUCGUCGUCAAUCUUUUCGAAGGAGAUUUCUCGGUGGUACUAUUUCCGGACGUUCUUGAUCGAAUUUUCUUCAUCGUCGGUAAAGGCAAGUGAAUGUAUUGUAUGACUAUGCUUUAACCUAAUAUUGGGUUGCCUACAUUCUUUAAUUACAGUGCAUUCAUCUAAUCUGAAUGACUGAUUCUGGGCUGAGUACUAUGUUGUUUACGUUUCCAGAAGUUUACUCGAUGAUUGAUUUAUGAAGUGCAGUAGGCACGAUAUGCCAUUCUGCAGUUGUUCA
Long non-coding RNA from Phragmites australis (common reed), 592 nucleotides. RefSeq lists it as uncharacterized. The record is from RefSeq and is a predicted model, not a curated record. Lineage: Eukaryota; Viridiplantae; Streptophyta; Magnoliopsida; Poales; Poaceae. The transcript is spliced from 2 exons.